Molecule: non-coding RNA, 4024 nt
Organism: Lolium perenne
Lineage: Eukaryota; Viridiplantae; Streptophyta; Magnoliopsida; Poales; Poaceae
Source: RefSeq, a predicted model, not a curated record
GCCCUUGGCGCGCUCGCGGAGCGGCGAGCGGGCCAAACCGGUCGGGACAACUGGCAGCGACGAAGCAUCGACGAGGUAUGAGGCGAGCUCGCUGCUGCAGCUUAGAUCUCGGACGACUACCGUGGCCUGCAGGUUGAUGUGUGGAUUUUUGGGUGCUUAUCCUUGUGCUCAGCACCAUGGACGCCUCCACCGUUUUGCUGCCCAGGAGAAGCAUCUGCAACCUCGUCCCUCUCCCCUCGUACCUCCUUUCGGCUUCAGCCUGCAGUCACCUCCCUUUGGGUCAUAGGAAUCAGCAUCAGCCGAUGCCCCACAACGACGCACGGCCGCAUCCCCUGCAGGUCCAGGAAGCCAGGACGACUCACCGCUCCUCUCCAUUCCCGGUGAUAUUUCCUGCCCAGCACAAGGUUACGAGCUGCAGCGAGGGGCCGCAACCUGUCGGCGUGAGCAGCGUUCAAGACCAUCGGCGCCAUGCGUCGAGUGGAAACGGCGGGCACGGUCCAGACAUCAGGGAAGCUACUAUUCAACAGAGACACAAGUAACAACAACACGAGGUCUAUAUACUAUGAUCCGACCAUCUAAAACAAUCCAACGGUGUUUGACCCUUCCAGGUUCGAUCUGCAUAACAUGCCGAAGAACAAUAAUCCAAGAAAAAAAAGAGGGGUCAGCAUUGUUUUGCAGUAUUUCAUAUUUAGAGGAAAGAAUGUCAAAUUGAUUCUAAUUUUAAUUUUGGUUAUGACGCACUGCUACAUAUCUUGAAAUAGCAAGAUUCUAUUAACCAACUCUGUUACAGCUGACAGAGUUAAGCGUAUAAACUAGCGACAGAGGCUGCAAGCAUGGCUUACCUAAGUGGAGCGUCAUUUGUUGUUUAAAUUUCCUACUAUUUGUGAGCUGACACCAUGCUUCAUUCUCUGUUUCCAGAUACUGUGGUUCUGUCUUCGUGUCUGAUGGACUAUCACUUAAGUCUCGGGAUUUGCCGGCAUUGUUUCUAGCUGUUAGGUUGUACAUCAUCUCACCCACACAAUGCUGGAUUCAGAAAGUAUGGUUAAGCUCUACUGAUCUCUUUCCAAACUCUGAAGAUCAUUUGCAUUUGUCAAGUUGAUGAGGAUGGUCACUGGAUCAAGAUAUAUAGAAUGAAGAUCAUAAUGCAAAGUAAGUGUACAUGCGUGAUUCAUGACCGGUCAAGUAAUUACCAUACAACAAGUAGUAUCUACUUCCCUUUAUUAGAUGCAUCUGGUCAUUAUCCUUGAUUAAGUUGAUGCGCUGAAAAGCAAGCAACCGCUAAGCUUCCUAACAUUUAAUUUCAUAUACUGCACUUUUAAAUCGUAGAUUGACAUUAAUGUCAACAUCUCAUGGGUGAUAAGGAAACUAUCUUUGCAGAUGAAAUCUUGAAAUAUGGCCGGUCAUGCCAUGACAAUGUAAUAUUUUCCUUAAUCAUAUUAGAGCAUGUCCACCGUUCUGUCACCUGACAGUUGUUUAUCUAGCACAGGGGUAGUCUUUUUUGUUGUUAUUGUCUUUAAGAGUCUGUUCUGUUAGAUGACGUUUACCGAUAUUAUAAAUUUGCUUAACUGAGACUCUCAGCGUAUGUUGCACUUUUCUGGAUAUCUGGUCGGGAGUGUUGUCGAUAUGCAGAAAACUUUUUGCAGAUGCACAUCAUGAACUUGUGUCUUCCUUUUGUCAUUGCGUAUUUUGCCUCUGUUUCUUAUUCAGCAUCGUCGGUCAUAUUUUAAAUUGUAAGAUCACUCUCACUUGGAUAAUUGAACUUCUAUAAUUAAAUAAUCUGAUGCUCUCUCAUAGAAGUAUCAAGUGUUAUUUUCAUGAAACCAUGUCGUAUGAUUAUCUUUCAUGCAGUGAUAAGCUGGCUAUUCUGGCCUGUUUUGGUUCUAGAGUAACAUACAAGUUUUAACAUAGUCAUUGACGUUUCUUGAUUGAAUUUGUAGCUGUAGAAGUUUAUGUUCUUCCUUGCAUGGUCUGCAUUUUUAGAACUUCUACCGUCAAUUUCUUUUUGAACUUGUUAGUGCAUAAGAUUAAAAUUCAUGUGAUGCUAUCUCAUGCAUAUGGCAGUCUUUUUUGUGUAUAGAGAUGUCUUGGUAUAGUCCAGGUGUGUGUCCAGAUCUUAUUCAACAAUUACAUAUGCUUCGUACAACUUCAUGCCAUGAUUGCUAAGAUAUCUUGCAGGCAAAAAGAUUUUUGACAACACUGCAGUAACAACUAAGAUAUCUUGCCGUGUUCAAUUCAGAAUUUGUUCCUUUAGACAACACAAGUACCCCUACUGUUUGGGCCAUCUAGGAGAAGCAAACAAUUAGUUGGCUCCCUGCAUGUUUGUUACUGUUAGUCUGGUCUGGAAAUCAUCUAGAAACAAAGGCAUGCAUCCUAUGUAAAAGUCUUUUUUAGAAACAUCAUCAAUAAUAGCAAAUAUAUUAUUUUCAUUGUUUUCAUUUUUCAAUUCACAAUAUAGGUACUACCAUAAGGUCAAUGGAAAUAUAGUUUCCUUGCAAUUGCAUCAGUUGUUGCUACUAUUCUACUUAUAAAGGCCUCUGGCCAACCCGGCCAAAGAAGCCACCAAAAGGGGCAAAAGCAUCCUGGACGCUCGUUUCACCCUGAGCAGUAACAUCUUUUGACACUAGCCAUCCGAUUCUGUGAAUUUUUAUUUACCUUGAGUUGAUCUUUCAUGGUCUAUGACGAGUGGGGACCGUUCAUGUGCGGGACCAGCAGAAAGUGGCACCGGCAGGCGCUCGCCCGCGUCGCCCAUUUCCCUCUCUUCCCGUAGCCUUUUUUCACAGCUUGUGGAUAGAGCAUUGUCUAUCUGACUACAUGUCCUCUGCUUAGUCUAUUUCACUGCGUGCUGGUCCCUUUGGCUCGUGGGGCUGUUUGUCGGUGAGCUGGGUCUUUCCUCCAUCGGUGCUCAUAUGCUUCCUUUUUUACCGCCGCACGGCACUGUUGGACGGUCAGGCGCGGACCUGCGCGGGGCCCGCCGUAGUGGCCCUCAUCUCUCAAACUUGCCCUCCCCUUCCCGGUCAGACCCACGAAACCUCGCUUCCCUCCUUCCUUUCCGCCGUCCUCACCCUCGCCCUCGACUGCUUCCUCUCCUCUCACCUACUCCCUCUCCUCUGCCUGCUCUGUCGCGAGGGGCCAAUGGGGUUUCAGGUGGCCGACGUGUAUGGUUAGGGGUGCUCGACGUUCCUGCUGCGAUUCUUCCACGGUUUUACUCGACUCCCGUAGCCUGGUUGUUCCAUCCGUUCUGUCGCUUUGCACAAGCUGGUUGGUGUUUCCGUGCGUUGCUGCUUUGCUAGGAGCAUGCUCGCUACCUUUUCGGCCGUUCGGAUCAAGGUAGCAGGUAGCAGCAGAUCUGGUUAGGGAAACACAAGAAGGAGAAAAGCAACCAGAUAUUGCCGCUGGUUGAUCUCCUCAUUCAUUUUGCUUAGACAUGGGCUUGCGUUCUGUGGUGUCUUGCUUCCACUAAGAACUGCAUAGGAGUUAUGCUCGUCUAAAGAUUCUAGAAAGCUUCAUGAGAUGAUGUGCAAUGAUAAAACACAUGUGCACUAGCUGCGGCACUUCGAACCAUGCUAUGGUGCUUCACCUUCGGCUUCCCUUUGAAUGUUUGUACCCAUAUUUGCGCUGGACAUUGUCUUCCGAUCAUCUAUGAAGAUUGUGAUGAUUGCUACUGCAGCAUGGCUGCUUGCGCUGUUUAACGAAUGGGCAUGGGCGGGAAGCUACUUUCAAUCAAUAUAGAACCUGUGUUGCCCUAGACCAAGCUCAAGGGCUGGGAUAGAGUUGAAGUGAGGUUUUCUCCAUAUAUUACCUGGGGUAAUUUAUCAUGUUGGCUACUGCCUCCUGAGUUUGUACAUAAUGAGACUGUCAAGUAGUAACUUGUGUUGUAAAUAGAGUUUUCAAGCAAUAAAUUCAAGUUUGAAUCUGGUACUUGCGCCUUCUGAGUUUGUACAUAAUGUUGUACAGUGUUAUUGGACCUUCACUAAAUUUACAUAGAAUGUACAUACAAAUUUCACCACUUAGGUUCUGUAAUAAU